This is a long non-coding RNA of Hemicordylus capensis (graceful crag lizard), 978 nucleotides long. RefSeq lists it as uncharacterized. NCBI's taxonomy places the organism in Eukaryota, Metazoa, Chordata, Lepidosauria, Squamata, Cordylidae. The transcript has 4 exons. The record is from RefSeq and is a predicted model, not a curated record.
UCUGACUGAAGGUCUGUAGUGGAGUUUGGCGAGGGAAACCUCAGGUCCCUUUUUGCCCUUAACUCCAGUUUUCUGAGUUCAGACAACAAGCUUUGGAAGCUGAAGGUGAAGGGAUCUCUGGUUUACUACAUCGGUACUCGGCCAAUGUAAUUGAGGCAACCAAGUUUCCCCUGGAUGCAGCUGGUUGAGGAGAUCAAAACUGAGAGAAGAAAGCAGACAUGAGUAACUCUAAAUGUCAAAAUGGAUCACUGCUCCCUCAGGACUGGUUCAUCACCAAUAUAGUCAACUCAGACAAAUGCUAAACAGAAUGAAGUGGAUCCUCCUCUUGCUCGAUAGCAAUAACUGCACACAAUAACUGCACCCUCCUAAAUUACACACAGAAAUUAACAACACUGGGAACCGUGCAAAGAUAUGGAUACAUCAUGCGUAGCAAACAAGCCUAAUCUUUCAAGUGCAUGCGUCUCUUCUGGAGGAGCACUGACUACUAUCUGCAAAAUACAUAAGUCAGAUGAUGGACAGCCAUCUGUCAGGGACCCUGUAGCCAUUUCCUGCACUGAGCAAGAUGCUGAAUGAAGUCUUCCAAGAUCCCUUCCAACUCUCCCAUUCUGAGAGUCAUUAUUCCAGCUGGCAGCAGCUUUUCAGGAUCUCAGGGGACAAAGGUCUUCUCCAGUCCUGUUACCUAAUAUCUUUUUUACUGAAGAUGCUGAGAACAUAACAUCGGAUAUUCUUCAUUCAAAGCAUGUGCUCUACUAUUGAGCUAUGUCAUCUUCAAAGCUGUACUUGUUGCGCAUUUUCAGUUUUUCAUAUUACCCUACUGAUAUGGUUGGAAAAUAAGAGUUCAAUGGAGCCUUGUCCAUAAAAAAUGUGGUUUACUAUUAGAUCUGCAAUAUUCUGCAUUCCAUAUUUAAAUAGCGCUACUUUCAAAUUUAUUGCAAUGUGCCUUACACCAGGUUUUUUUUAGCCCUGUCUUUAUCUGUA